This is a long non-coding RNA of Anopheles aquasalis, 1449 nucleotides long. RefSeq lists it as uncharacterized. NCBI's taxonomy places the organism in Eukaryota, Metazoa, Arthropoda, Insecta, Diptera, Culicidae. The record is from RefSeq and is a predicted model, not a curated record.
CAGCAGCCCCGCGCUAAUGCGAAACGAUAGCAGCUCUCUUGGGAUUUCGGGACCAUCCGAUCGAACGAAGACGUCGGAUGUUUUUGUGGUGGGUGAGGAAAGUGUGAAAUUCUUGUGCACGCGUUCCAUGACUGCUGCUACUGCUGGCUGGUUUGUCGCAACAAAACUGCUCCCGUCGUCGUAGAAACGUGCGAAGCAAGGCGCAGGUUGUGCGAGUGCGCGAUUUGCCACCAAGUACCACUUGAAAACGCUGUUGACCAGACGAUUCCUCGUGCUGCUAGUGCUAGCAGCCACUGCAGGCACUGUCACAGGCAGUGUGUUGGUAAGGUCUGCAACCAAAUCACUCACGGAAAAUCACGCCCCCGCCCCCCCCCCCCCCCCCCCCCCUCAAGAUACAAGCCAGUCUUGUUGGCUGGCAGCGAAGAAGCUGGAUCCUUGGUUGUCGACUGCAAUGCAGCAGUAAGGGAUAACUCAUAAUAAGCAGUAUAGAAUGGGCAUGGAAGGCAUGCACUAUUAGGCUGCCAGCGGCACGUUUUGCAUGAUACAAUCCAUCGAUUCCCGAGGACCGAUUCCGUAGACAUCGUUGCGUCCAAGGCCAGUAUUGGAAGAUUGUAGUGAACAGAACAGAAGGCCCGUCCCGACGCUACUGACCAGUUGGAGACGCCGAAAACGACAGAACAGCAACGGUUCGGGAAACGCUGGUCCCCACUUACCACCUGGCCCGCCAGUGCCAGUGUUUGCUCUCGCUCACUCCCUAUCAUGUGCCGCGAGGUGAUUCGGCAGACGAGCGCGCGCACCGAUUCUUACACUGACGACAGCAAUAACCGCACGUUGAAUCAGACCGAACAGUAACAGCAGCACAAGAGGGUGCCAUCGCCGGUGAUCAGUGAGCUAGUAGCCGGUACAGAAGCCUCCAGCACGCGCCAGCAUCCUUUUUGAGCCCCAGGCACUAUUCGCUGCGUGCCAUCGCCAAAAACAGAAAAACCAAAACCAAUUGGGUUUACAUCUCAACCCCUCCCCCCCUCCCCCCUGUUCUUUUUGCGAAGGAAAAGUAUCGCAUCAUUCAACAUACUUCCAUCAUCCAGGCUAUGCACCGUGGCAGUCACUCUGUGAGCAAGUGUUAUCCUGUGGGCAAGUGUUUUUGGAGUGUGUGCGUGUGUGUGUAUGGCGUAGUGAAUAAGAGCAGCAAGUGUAGUAACCUAGUCUGUUAGCAAUUGUAAAAGCAUUAGCAGUGUAGUAGCCAAGUUUGUAAGCGUGUACCACACGGGAUUGAGUUGAUUUCAUUGGAACAUCCACGACGACGCACAGUGUGCGCGGGCGCCUGUGUGUGUGUGUUGCCAGAGAAGGAGAGAAAGAGAAAGAAAGAGAGAGAGAGAGAAAGAGAAGAGAGAGAGAGAAAGAGAGAGAAUCGUAAGGUGCAAGGAUAUCGCGGUCUAACGGCGCGUGAAU